RNAcentral lists this ribosomal RNA (846 nucleotides) under Escherichia coli. RNAcentral's name for it is "partial 23S ribosomal RNA". It matches the Rfam family "Bacterial large subunit ribosomal RNA", at positions 340 to 1191 of the family's 2925-position model. The record is from RNAcentral. Lineage: Bacteria; Pseudomonadati; Pseudomonadota; Gammaproteobacteria; Enterobacterales; Enterobacteriaceae.
GUCUGGAAAGGCGCGCGAUACAGGGUGACAGCCCCGUACACAAAAAUGCACAUGCUGUGAGCUCGAUGAGUAGGGCGGGACACGUGGUAUCCUGUCUGAAUAUGGGGGGACCAUCCUCCAAGGCUAAAUACUCCUGACUGACCGAUAGUGAACCAGUACCGUGAGGGAAAGGCGAAAAGAACCCCGGCGAGGGGAGUGAAAAAGAACCUGAAACCGUGUACGUACAAGCAGUGGGAGCCUCUUAAUGGGGUGACUGCGUACCUUUUGUAUAAUGGGUCAGCGACUUAUAUUCUGUAGCAAGGUUAACCGAAUAGGGGAGCCGAAGGGAAACCGAGUCUUAACUGGGCGUUAAGUUGCAGGGUAUAGACCCGAAACCCGGUGAUCUAGCCAUGGGCAGGUUGAAGGUUGGGUAACACUAACUGGAGGACCGAACCGACUAAUGUUGAAAAAUUAGCGGAUGACUUGUGGCUGGGGGUGAAAGGCCAAUCAAACCGGGAGAUAGCUGGUUCUCCCCGAAAGCUAUUUAGGUAGCGCCUCGUGAAUUCAUCUCCGGGGGUAGAGCACUGUUUCGGCAAGGGGGUCAUCCCGACUUACCAACCCGAUGCAAACUGCGAAUACCGGAGAAUGUUAUCACGGGAGACACACGGCGGGUGCUAACGUCCGUCGUGAAGAGGGAAACAACCCAGACCGCCAGCUAAGGUCCCAAAGUCAUGGUUAAGUGGGAAACGAUGUGGGAAGGCCCAGACAGCCAGGAUGUUGGCUUAGAAGCAGCCAUCAUUUAAAGAAAGCGUAAUAGCUCACUGGUCGAGUCGGCCUGCGCGGAAGAUGUAACGGGGCUAAACCAUG